Molecule: RNA transcript, 2540 nt
Organism: Oryzias melastigma (Indian medaka)
Lineage: Eukaryota; Metazoa; Chordata; Actinopteri; Beloniformes; Adrianichthyidae
Exons: 5
Source: RefSeq, a predicted model, not a curated record
AAAGGAAACUUUGGUUUGAGCAAUCUUCAUAAAAUUUCACAUCGUGCCACCAGCUCAGGUCUACAACCACCACUGAAAUUUCAUUGUCCUGUGAUCUUUGGAAGGAGCCACCAUCUUGAAUUUAAAAAAUACCUUUAGUAGCAGUAAUUAAAAACUCCUCUUAGGUUUUUUGAUGUUUCCUUGAGGAUCAUUUGAGAAAAAAAAAUGUUGGUUUUAGAAGUUGUAGAUUUUGGAUGGCUUUGAAAUGGCAUUCCUCUGUUGUCUGAACACUUUUUUACUGGAAUAUUGUGAAAAUGUAAUUCAUGAAUUCUUGGCCCAACCUGAAAGAAAUGAUGUGAACAUAGAACAAAAAACUUCUGUCUUUCAAGGAAAUCUCCAAAUUUACUUUUGCUGAUUCUUCUAAAAACUUUAUAGGGCAAUGCGUAAUCCCAAACUGACCAAAAAAUAAAAUGGAGAGAAAACCAACAAUAAAGCUACUAUUUUGAAAACAGUGUUUUUUCAAGAAUUUGUCCCAAGAAUUUGACUGUAUUAAGUACGAACUGGACAUAGCAAGCGUUGAGGUCCCCCAUAGGAAAUGCAUUACCUUCAGGCCUUGCGAAAUCCAGCCAGAGCCUUCGCCAUCACUUCCUGAUUCGUCUAACGCCAUAUUGCAACUGAUUGCUGCCCCUUGACAGCGAUUAGCCCAAGUCGUGCUGAGUCAUGUUAUUAAAGAAGUUAAUCAAGUUGAAGUUAUUUGAGGGGUUUUAUUGAGCAUAUUCAUACAGUUCAGAAUUUUCAUUUGUCAUUGUCUGCAGACAGACACCCCCUACUACUUCUUGUCUCUCUGGUUUGAAGAGAAAUUCACUCCUCCUUCCCACCCACACAUGCAGGUUUGUGUCGAGCUCUGUCUGACGUGCUUUCAUACCGGUAGCUGAGAGAGGAUGAAACUCAGAGCACGACCACUUGUCUCAUGAUAAAAUGGCAUUGUGGUUGAAACAGGCAGUUCUGGUGUUGCUCACAGUAGCAGAAGCAGCCAUGGCGGGAUAUUCACAAGAAAUCAAUCUGAGUUCUCCUGGUGAUCCAUCACAUAUGGAGCGGGUGAAUACUUCUGCUCGCUCUCUGAAGUUCCUCUGCGACAUACCAACUAAAAGUUCCCGCUAUCGAGUGACUUUUUAUUUCAGGGAUUCAAACACCAAGAACAUUUCGCACAAGUGUAGCACAGCGAUUUAUGGAAAUUUAAAUGCCUUCACUACAUCACCAAAAAAGAAACAGACGAAUCAAACAGAUCCCAACAUGAAGUGCUACAAUAAAACAUGGGAAAUACAAAACAUUACCAGAGAAAACAAUGGAUUUUACUCUUGUGAAAUCCAUAUAGAGAUUCCUGUGCUAAAUACGACUAAGAGCCGGGAAGUGGAAGUUCUCUUUGUACCAUCGAUAAACAACCCACCUUCAGAAAACAAACCAUCUUUAGAAAAGAUAUCAUCUUCAGAAAACAACCCAAUUUCAGAAAAAAAAACGCAGUUAGGAAACAACCCAAUAUCCUCGCUGUGGCUCCCGUUGGGUCUUUCUCUUCUCGCUGUGGUCAUCCUGAUGGUUCUAUGUGUGAUCAUCAGAAGAGUGUGCCUCAGAAACAGAGUGUGAGUGAAGAUGUGAAAAGAUUCCAGCCAAAAUAAGAACCCAUCUAUGUGAACACCAACUUGAAGCCCUCCCCUCGGUCUGCGCCCCAGCGUGAUCAGCUGAAGUUGGCCGAGCCCUAUCAGAACAUGCGUACUCCUAGCCCCACCAGGAGUAACAAAGUGAGGAAAGACAGACCCAGACCCUGACCAAACUGGGGGUGCACAGGAUAAUCCUCCCAUCCCUGUUCUUAUUUCAUCUGCUUCCAUGUGUUUCACUUUCUUUUUAAUUAAUUUUUUGACAAAAAUAUAUACAUAUCAAAUAUAAUGUAAAAGCAGUUUCUAUAAAAGAUAUUCAGAAUGUUACAUUCAGGCUCUUCAGUUUUUAUCAUGUGCCACUAGAUGGCGAUUGAUGUUCCUUUUAGAAAUCAUUUUGCUUGUAAACCUCACAAGUACUUUUUUAAAUUUUCCAACUGUUUAAAUUGUUCUUUUAAUGUGGAAAAAAAUGCUUAAUAACAAUUGCAUGAAGAAGCAUUGAAACGUUUUAAAUUUUAAUUUGUGCUUAUGAUUUUUAAUGGGAAAUUCUUAUACUUUGAGCAUUAUAUUCCUGAGGUGAUUCUGUUCACUUUGACCCACUGUUGUUUCUCCAGAGGUCAACGUUACCCCUUGAACAUGUUAUACAUUUCUUAUUGUGGAUUAAUUAAGGGCCAAACCACUUUAAUAAUACAAGAUCUGGCAUUCAAGAACACCAGUGAACAAAAUGUGCUGUAAGUUUGUCCUACCACAUGGGGGCGCUCUGUCGCCACUGACCAAUACUGGUCCCAAGUUUAAGUAACUGAAGCAUGUUUUAUCAGAAAGCCCCUCCCCAUAACAAUGAAGCCAAAUCUCUGGUUUAAAUUGUGGGGUAGUUCUCUGAGGUGACCCCAAAAAUGGAAAAAAAUAAAUAAA